This 666-nucleotide ribosomal RNA is filed under the name Escherichia coli. Its description in RNAcentral is "partial 23S ribosomal RNA". It matches the Rfam family "Bacterial large subunit ribosomal RNA", at positions 2198 to 2858 of the family's 2925-position model. The record is from RNAcentral. Lineage: Bacteria; Pseudomonadati; Pseudomonadota; Gammaproteobacteria; Enterobacterales; Enterobacteriaceae.
UACCACCCUUUAAUGUUUGAUGUUCUAACGUUGGCCCCUAAUCGGGGUUGCGGACAGUGUCUGGUGGGUAGUUUGACUGGGGCGGUCUCCUCCUAAAGAGUAACGGAGGAGCACGAAGGUUGGCUAAUCCUGGUCGGACAUCAGGAGGUUAGUGCAAUGGCAUAAGCCAGCUUGACUGCGAGCGUGACGGCGCGAGCAGGUGCGAAAGCAGGUCAUAGUGAUCCGGUGGUUCUGAAUGGAAGGGCCAUCGCUCAACGGAUAAAAGGUACUCCGGGGAUAACAGGCUGAUACCGCCCAAGAGUUCAUAUCGACGGCGGUGUUUGGCACCUCGAUGUCGGCUCAUCACAUCCUGGGGCUGAAGUAGGUCCCAAGGGUAUGGCUGUUCGCCAUUUAAAGUGGUACGCGAGCUGGGUUUAGAACGUCGUGAGACAGUUCGGUCCCUAUCUGCCGUGGGCGCUGGAGAACUGAGGGGGGCUGCUCCUAGUACGAGAGGACCGGAGUGGACGCAUCACUGGUGUUCGGGUUGUCAUGCCAAUGGCACUGCCCGGUAGCUAAAUGCGGAAGAGAUAAGUGCUGAAAGCAUCUAAGCACGAAACUUGCCCCGAGAUGAGUUCUCCCUGACUCCCUGAGAGUCCUGAAGGAACGUUGAAGACGACGACGUUGAUA